GACGAACGCUGGCGGCGUGCUUAACACAUGCAAGUCGAACGGGCUUCUGGGGUUCUGGCUUUUUUGGUUGGGGUUCUGGGGGUUAGUGGCGAACGGGUGAGUAACACGUGAGUAACCUGCCCUUCACUUCUGGAUAACCGCUUGAAAGGGUGGCUAAUACGGGAUGUUUCUGGGUCUGUCGCAUGGCGGGUUCGGGAAAGAUGGCACUGUUUGGUGGUUUUGGUGGGGGAUGGGCUCGCGGCCUAUCAGCUUGUUGGUGGGGUGAUGGCCUGCCAAGGGUUUGGCGGGUAGCCGGCCUGAGAGGGUGGGCGGUCACGCUGGGACUGAGAUACGGCCCAGACUUCUACGGGAGGCAGCAGUGGGGAAUAUUGCACGAUGGGCGGAAGCCUGAUGCAGCGACGUCGCGUGAGGGAUGGAGGCCUUCGGGUUGUGAACCUCUUUCGCCAGGGAGGAGGGCCUUGCCCGUGUGGUGGGGUUGACGGUAGCUGGGUUAAUUGAAGCGCCGGCUAACUACGUG
This 517-nucleotide ribosomal RNA is filed under the name uncultured bacterium. RNAcentral's name for it is "partial 16S ribosomal RNA". It matches the Rfam family "Bacterial small subunit ribosomal RNA", at positions 28 to 507 of the family's 1533-position model. The record is from RNAcentral.